RNAcentral lists this ribosomal RNA (467 nucleotides) under uncultured bacterium. RNAcentral's name for it is "bacterial SSU rRNA". It matches the Rfam family "Bacterial small subunit ribosomal RNA", at positions 329 to 793 of the family's 1533-position model. The record is from RNAcentral.
GUCCAGACUCCUACGGGAGGCAGCCGUGCGGAAUAUUGGUCAAUGGUCGGGCUCCUGAACCAGCCCCUCCUCGUGAGGGCUGCAGGUACAGAGUCUCUUAAACCUCUUUUUUCCGGGAACAACGGCGGGGACGUGUCCCCUUAUGAGUGUACCUGAAGAAAAAUCAUCUUCUAACUCCUUGCCAGCAGCCGCUUGAAUACGGGGGUUGCAAGCGUUGUCCGGAAUCAUUGGGCGUAAAGAGUUCGUAGGCGGCACGUAAAGUCUGGUGUUAAAGGCAGAGGCGCAACUUCUGUACGGCACUGGAUACUUGCGAGCUAGAAUGCGGUAGAGGGAAAGGGAAUUCCUGGUGUAGCGGUGAAAUGCUUAGAGAGAAGGAGGAACAUCGGUGGCGUAAGCGCUUUACUGGGCCGUAAUUGACGCUGAGGAACGAAAGCCAGGGUAGCACAUGGGAUUAGAUACCCGAGUAC